RNAcentral lists this unclassified non-coding RNA (524 nucleotides) under Hevea brasiliensis (rubber tree). The record is from RNAcentral. Lineage: Eukaryota; Viridiplantae; Streptophyta; Magnoliopsida; Malpighiales; Euphorbiaceae.
GGGAGGCAUUCUUCAUCACAAUGUAAAGAUUCUUUUUCAUUGUAUCUUGUUGGGCACUUCCACGAGGGCCAUUCCAGCAAAGAGACUUUUCAGAAGAGCAGAUUUCUGCAGUUCCAGAAUCUAAAAGUCUCACCUUGAAGGAGGAGGUGGAACGUGGGAUUUCGUCAUUCCAACCCAUGCAACUAUUCCAACAGCAAGGAUGACCCAUCCAAAUAUGUCAUACUUGAGAUCGCUGCUCUUUUUCUUGGAACUCUUUGGGUUUGAAGCGGCAGUAGCUCCCCCGCCUGAAGGCCCUGCACUCUGUUGACCGAUGCCAUGCUUGUGGAUCUCCGAAUGAAACUCCGGUGCCUUUGCAGUGACUUCCAAGGACUUGUGAUAUAGUUCAUUACUAGGAUCCUCAUCUACUGCCUUCUGGAAACACUCAUGUGCUUUAUCAAAAUAGACUUUGGCCUCGUCCCCAUCGGGAGUCAGAAAAGCAUGGGAAGUGUGAGCAUUUCCAAGACACCAGAGAGCAUCAUGCUUCG